Non-coding RNA from Vicia faba (fava bean), 303 nucleotides. Lineage: Eukaryota; Viridiplantae; Streptophyta; Magnoliopsida; Fabales; Fabaceae. The record is from the annotation of a GenBank genome assembly.
AUGGUCCAUUACAAUCUCUGUUCAAUGAUGUUGGAUGAGGUUGGAGGCACCUUGCUUACAGUUCUCAAAGUUUACUUGGGAGGUAAUGUUAUUUUGGCUAUUAAUAUUUCCUGUCUGUUAUAUCUUCAGAAUUCAGUCAAUUAUAGAUCCCAAGUUUAUUCUUUGUCUUCGUCGAUAGAAGCUAUUCAUACUGACCCUUGUAUUUUACUUUUUUUCUCUUUUCAAUUUAUUGUAGGCCUUAGAAAAAAGGCUCAACCUGGAAAUAGUUGGCUGAAUCUCUUGUGGAAACAAUUAAAACUGUAA